This 657-nucleotide ribosomal RNA is filed under the name Vibrio sp. RNAcentral's name for it is "bacterial SSU rRNA". It matches the Rfam family "Bacterial small subunit ribosomal RNA", at positions 345 to 994 of the family's 1533-position model. Lineage: Bacteria; Pseudomonadati; Pseudomonadota; Gammaproteobacteria; Vibrionales; Vibrionaceae. The record is from RNAcentral.
GAGGCAGCAGUGGGGAAUAUUGCACAAUGGGCGCAAGCCUGAUGCAGCCAUGCCGCGUGUAUGAAGAAGGCCUUCGGGUUGUAAAGUACUUUCAGCAGUGAGGAAGGGGGUGUCGUUAAUAGCGGCAUCUCUUGACGUUAGCUGCAGAAGAAGCACCGGCUAACUCCGUGCCAGCAGCCGCGGUAAUACGGAGGGUGCGAGCGUUAAUCGGAAUUACUGGGCGUAAAGCGCAUGCAGGUGGUUUGUUAAGUCAGAUGUGAAAGCCCGGGGCUCAACCUCGGAACUGCAUUUGAAACUGGCAAACUAGAGUACUGUAGAGGGGGGUAGAAUUUCAGGUGUAGCGGUGAAAUGCGUAGAGAUCUGAAGGAAUACCAGUGGCGAAGGCGGCCCCCUGGACAGAUACUGACACUCAGAUGCGAAAGCGUGGGGAGCAAACAGGAUUAGAUACCCUGGUAGUCCACGCCGUAAACGAUGUCUACUUGGAGGUUGUGGCCUUGAGCCGUGGCUUUCGGAGCUAACGCGUUAAGUAGACCGCCUGGGGAGUACGGUCGCAAGAUUAAAACUCAAAUGAAUUGACGGGGGCCCGCACAAGCGGUGGAGCAUGUGGUUUAAUUCGAUGCAACGCGAAGAACCUUACCUACUCUUGACAUCCAGAGA